This 181-nucleotide non-coding RNA is filed under the name Geoalkalibacter subterraneus. Its description in RNAcentral is "6S / SsrS RNA". It matches the Rfam family "6S / SsrS RNA". Rfam says of the family: E. coli 6S RNA was the first non coding RNA to be sequenced, but its function was unknown until recently. Lineage: Bacteria; Pseudomonadati; Thermodesulfobacteriota; Desulfuromonadia; Desulfuromonadales; Geoalkalibacteraceae. The record is from Rfam by way of RNAcentral.
GACUCUCUACCCUACAGGUGAGGCCAGGAACGCCCACGCGGAAUAAUUUUGAAUCGGGAUUCCCAGAGGGUUGCUGUGUGCAAGCCCGCCUUUGAGCGGGACGCCUGAUGCGGCCUGCGAGAAGCCCACCUGGUUGGUACUCGUAGUGAGGCCAACGGCCCACGGUAGGUGUGGAGAGACU